CUUUCAGUCUGAUGUUUGC
This 19-nucleotide microRNA is filed under the name Ictalurus punctatus (channel catfish). RNAcentral describes it as "ipu-miR-30a". Its record names the gene ipu-miR-30a. The record is from miRBase by way of RNAcentral. Lineage: Eukaryota; Metazoa; Chordata; Actinopteri; Siluriformes; Ictaluridae.